UACGAAGGGGGCUAGCGUUGCUCGGAAUUACUGGGCGGAAAGCGCGUGUAGGCGGGUCUUUAAGUCAGGGGUGAAAUGCCAAGGCUCAACCUUGGAACUGCCUUUGAUACUGGAGAUCUUGAGUCCGGGAGAGGUGAGUGGAAUUGCGAGUGUAGAGGUGAAAUUCGUAGAUAUUCGCAAGAACACCAGUGGCGAAGGCGGCUCACUGGCCCGGAACUGACGCUGAGACGCGAAAGCGUGGGGAGCAAACAGG
RNAcentral lists this ribosomal RNA (253 nucleotides) under uncultured bacterium. RNAcentral describes it as "partial 16S ribosomal RNA". It matches the Rfam family "Bacterial small subunit ribosomal RNA", at positions 524 to 776 of the family's 1533-position model. The record is from RNAcentral.